ACAUAUGUCCUUGUUCCUUUCUGAUUUUUAAAAAAUUUUAUUUAAGCCCAAUGCAGGGCUCAAACCCACAAUCCUGAGAUCAAAACCCAAGCUAAGAUCAAGAGUUGGAGACUUAACCAACUGAACCACCCAUGCACCCUUGUCUCCUUCUGAUUUCAGAAUAUAUUUCUCUCUUAAAUUUUGGCUGCAUGUGUCCAUACCGAGGGGUUGUAUGAAUACCAGUAUGAGACUGACUUUCUUAUUGUGGCAAAAUGUACAGUUGAGUGACAUUAAGGACAUCCACACUCUUGUGCUACCAUCACCAUGAUCCAUCCUCAGAAAUUGUUUUUAUCUUCAAGACGGACCUUUUUUAUAAAGGGCCAAAUUUAAUUCCCCCUGCCUGGCACAUCGACUUUUUUUUACUUCUCCCGUCUUUAUAUCAUGGCCUUCUCAUCUCAGUAUUUUCUCCAGGCUUACAUGCAGAAGUCAAAUGUAAGGGGGGUUUAGGUGACCUGAUGGGUCAGGCGGAUCCUGUCCUCCUUCAUCUCCAAAGUAAAAAAAUGAUCACAGGUGGCAUUUGGUUUCAUCCUAGGAAUACUAUCAUUUGAUUCAGGACCAUCAUGGUGACUCGAAAGUCUUGGAUGUGGGCCUUCCCAGUCUUGAACCAGAAGGAAAGAGCCACCGGAAUCAGGGGGCAUUCAUGUUGAUUUUCCAGGGACUUCCUUGCAAAUGAAUUCUGCAUGAAAAUAAUUAUUGUUCUGUAUCAGAUGACUUUCUCAUAUUUUAGUGAGAUCAAAGAAAGAACUUUAUUUUUUUAUUUAUUUAUGAUAGUCACAGAGAGAGAGAGGCAGAGACAUAGGCAGAGGGAGAAGCAGGCUCCAUGCACCAGGAGCCCAACAUGGGAUUUGAUCCCUGGUCUCCAGGAUUGCGCCCUGGGCCAAAGGCAGGCGCCAAACCGCUGUGCCACCCAGGGAUCCCCAAGAAAGAACAUUUUAAUUCUGUCCAAGCUAAUCUUGAGGAAAAAAGUCUAACUUCUGGGUACUCUGGAAAUAUUGGAAAUUCCACAUUAAAGAAGAUACAUUUUUGAAUUGAUAACUAAGCUGAUAUGUGAAAGCCUUUACAAAUAUGAAUACAGAAAUGACUAAUUUAGAAUUAAUGUCAGCAAGUUCCUCAGUUGGUCUAUUUUCACAAGAAUGUGCUUCAUACUGCUUAAGACUAGUUAUUGGGUAAAACAUAAAAAUAACAAUCUAUAUUUUCAUGGAUCUAAGACUGUAACAGUCUAUUAGGUGACUUGUUAUUAGGUUUACUAUUGUUUCAUUACCUUAGUAUUGACCAUAUUUAGGUCCACUUUUCUCUAUAGACAUUGUUUCCUUCAAGUCCUAUUUUCAUCACAAAGAUCGUUUUACUGUCAAACAAAAUUAAGUGGUUCCAAAUUGUGCAAUCACUUUUAUGUUAUUUGCUCAAAAUAGGUGGGUCUUGCAUUAAUUCACUUUUGUUUUAAUCCCUUCCUAUCCUGUAACCUGAGAAAAUGAAAGUUUAUCUGGAUUACGUUUAUGUUUAAUAUCAACAUGGUUUGUAAGUAAUGGAAAACCACUCAUUCUCAUAGCUGACAGCCCCUGAACCCCAGUUCUCUGCAGAACAGCCAGAGGUGUGUGCAGUGUGUCUGCACUUGAAGGCCACAGACUGUGUGCAGAAUCAAGAGCUCUGUUGGAACAUGUGUGGUGCAAAGCCAGCUCUGGUGCAUAAGCAACAUGUGGGAUUUAAAGUUUAUUCUUGGCUGGUGUCUCUGGAGAAAUAUUGUUCUCUGUUUAAAAACCAGCUUUCCAGGGGGGCGGGGAAGUGUCCCGGGCAGGCUCAGUAGGGAGAGCAUGUGACUCUCAAUCUCACGGUUGUGAAUUCAAAACCCUACAUUAGGCAUAGAAAUUGCUAAAUUUCUCAUAAAUAAAUAGAUAGAUAGACUAAUAAUAAUAAAUAAACCAACCCAACUUUCCAUACACAAUUGAUCUAUUGGUCCACACAGCCAUUGUCAUCGGAUCAUGGGUUGUUCUUUCAGUCAUUUUGCUUCCAUCAGCGUCACUUGUUUGCGAUGAUUCUUGGAAAGCUUAGUCAAGAGGAUUUCCUAAAAUUAAAAAAAAAA
RNAcentral lists this long non-coding RNA (2116 nucleotides) under Canis lupus familiaris (dog). RNAcentral's name for it is "lncRNA (ENSCAFG00845014885.1)". Lineage: Eukaryota; Metazoa; Chordata; Mammalia; Carnivora; Canidae. The record is from RNAcentral.